GAAGAAACAAGUAGAGGAGAAGAAACAGAUUAUUACUGAAGAUUAUGAGAAACUUAAACUCAAAGUAGCUUAUUUGGAGGAACAAUAUCUCAAGGAGAAACAGAUCAUUAUUGACGACAAUCAAAAUCUCAUUUCUGAGAAAGACAAAGUUAUAGCCAAACUGACAUUGAAUGAGAAACAGAUCAUUACUGACCUUAAAGAAAAGGAGUUGUACAU
This is a long non-coding RNA of Amphimedon queenslandica, 216 nucleotides long. RefSeq lists it as uncharacterized. The transcript is spliced from 4 exons. The record is from RefSeq and is a predicted model, not a curated record. Lineage: Eukaryota; Metazoa; Porifera; Demospongiae; Haplosclerida; Niphatidae.